UCAAGCUACUAAGAGCACGUGGUGGAUGCCUUGGCGUCAAGAGGCGAUGAAGGACGUAGGUAGCUGCGAAAAGCUGCGGAGAGUCGCUACACAGACAAUGACCCGCAGAUAUCCGAAUGGGGAAACCCGAGCCGGUGAAAGCCGGCCACAACCCGCUGAAUAUAUAGGCGGGAGUGAGCGAACCCGGGGAACUGAAACAUCUAAGUACCCGGAGGAAAAGAUAUCAACCGAUAUUCCCUAAGUAGCGGCGAGCGAACGGGGAUCAGCCCUUAAGUUUCAAUGAUGCUAGUAAAACGGUCUGGAAAGUCCGGCCAUAGAAGGUGAUAGCCCUGUAUGCGAAAGUUGAAUUGAGAUGAAAUCGAGUAGGACGGGACACGUGAAACCCUGUCUGAACAUGGGGGGACCAUCCUCCAAGGCUAAAUACUCUCUACCGACCGAUAGUGAACCAGUACCGUGAGGGAAAGGCGAAAAGAACCCCGGAGAGGGGAGUGAAAUAGAACCUGAAACCGCGUGCGUACAAGCAGUGGGAGCAUCCUUGUGGUGUGACCGCGUACCUUUUGUAUCAUGGGUCAGCGAGUUACUUUUUGCGGCAAGCUUAACCGUUUAGGGGAGGCGUAGGGAAACCGAGUCUGAAUAGGGCGAAUUAGUCGUAAGGAGUAGACCCGAAACCAAGCGAGCUAUCCAUGGCCAGGGUGAAGGCAGGGUAAUACCUGCUGGAGGCCCGAACCGGGUAAUGUUGAAAAAUUAUCGGAUGAGCUGUGGAUAGGAGUGAAAGGCUAACCAAGCCUGGAGAUAGCUGGUUCUCCUCGAAAGCUAUUUAGGUAGCGCCUCGUGUAUCACUGCUGGGGGUAGAGCACUGUUUCGGCUAGGGGGUCAUCCCGACUUACCAACCCGAUGCAAACUCCGAAUACCAGCAAGUGCAAUCACGGGAGACACACGGCGGGUGCUAACGUCCGUCGUGGAGAGGGAAACAACCCAGACCGCCAGCUAAGGUCCCAAAAUCACAAUUAAGUGGGAAACGAUGUGGAAAGGCUUAGACACCCAGGAGGUUGGCUUAGAAGCAGCCACCCUUUAAAGAAAGCGUAACAGCUCACUGGUUUAGUCGGUCUGCGCGGAAGAUUUAACGGGGCUCAAAUUGUGUACCGAAGCUGCGGAUGCGUAUUUUUCUUCGGAUUAAUAUGUGUGGUAGAGGAGCGUUCUGUACGCCUGUGAAGGCAAGUCGCGAGGCUUGCUGGAGGUAUCAGAAGUGCGAAUGCUGACAUGAGUAACGAUAAUGUGGGUGAAAAACCUACACGCCGAAAACCCAAGGGUUCCUGCGCAACGCUAAUCGGCGCAGGGUGAGUCGGCCCCUAAGGCGAGACCGAAAGGUGUAGUCGAUGGGAAACUGGUUAAGAUUCCAGUACUACUUGUUACUGCGAUGGGGUGACGGAGAAGGCUAGAUCUACCGGGCGUUGGUUGUCCCGGGGAAAGUAUGUAGGCAGAGAGCUUAGGCAAAUCCGGGCUCUUAAUGUCGAGAUACGAGACGACCGGUCUUUGUACCGGAAAGUGGUCGGUGCCAUGCUUCCAGGAAAAGCCUCUAAGCUUCAGGUAACAAGUAACCGUACCGUAAACCGACACAGGUGGGUGAGGAGAGAAUCCUAAGGCGCUUGAGAGAACUCGGGUGAAGGAACUAGGCAAAUUGGUACCGUAACUUCGGGAGAAGGUACGCCCCCGUUGGUGAUGAGACUUGCUCUCUAAGCUGGUGGGGGUUGCAGUGACCAGGUGGCUGCGACUGUUUACUAAAAACACAGCACUCUGCAAACACGUAAGUGGAAGUAUAGGGUGUGACGCCUGCCCGGUGCCGGAAGGUUAAUUGAUCUGGUUAGUCCUCGGACGAAGCUAGUGAUCGAAGCCCCGGUAAACGGCGGCCGUAACUAUAACGGUCCUAAGGUAGCGAAAUUCCUUGUCGGGUAAGUUCCGACCUGCACGAAUGGCGUAACGAUGGCCACACUGUCUCCACUUGGGGCUCAGUGAAGUUGAAAUCGCAGUGAAGAUGC
Molecule: ribosomal RNA, 2036 nt
Filed under: marine metagenome
Description: bacterial LSU rRNA
Rfam family: Bacterial large subunit ribosomal RNA
Source: RNAcentral